ACGGAAGGCAGCAGUGGGGAAUAUUGGACAAUGGGGGAAACCCUGAUCCAGCGACGCCGCGUGAGUGAAGAAGUAUUUCGGUAUGUAAAGCUCUAUCAGCAAGGAAGAAAAUGACGGUACUUGACUAAGAAGCUCCGGCUAAAUACGUGCCAGCAGCCGCGGUAAUACGUAUGGAGCAAGCGUUAUCCGGAUUUACUGGGUGUAAAGGGAGCGUAGACGGCUUUGCAAGUCUGAAGUGAAAGCCCGGGGCUCAACCCCGGAACUGCUUUGGAAACUGUAGAGCUAGAGUACAGGAGAGGUAAGUGGAACUCCAUGUGUAGCGGUGAAAUGCGUAGAUAUAUGGAAGAACACCGGUGGCGAAGGCGACUUACUGGACUGUAACUGACACUGAGGUACGAAAGCGUGGGGAGCAAACAGGAUUAGAUACCCUGGUA
This 434-nucleotide ribosomal RNA is filed under the name uncultured Clostridium sp. RNAcentral describes it as "partial 16S ribosomal RNA". It matches the Rfam family "Bacterial small subunit ribosomal RNA", at positions 341 to 792 of the family's 1533-position model. The record is from RNAcentral. Lineage: Bacteria; Bacillati; Bacillota; Clostridia; Eubacteriales; Clostridiaceae.